GACGAACGCUGGCGGCGUGCUUAACACAUGCAAGUCGAACGGAAAGGCCCUGCUUUUGUGGGGUGCUCGAGUGGCGAACGGGUGAGUAACACGUGAGUAACCUGCCCUUGACUUUGGGAUAACUUCAGGAAACUGGGGCUAAUACCGGAUAGGAGCUCCUGCUGCAGGGUGGGGGUUGGAAAGUUUCGGCGGUUGGGGUUGGACUCGCGGCUUAUCAGCUUGUUGGUGGGGUAGUGGCUUACCAAGGCUUUGACGGGUAGCCGGCCUGGGAGGGUGACCGGCCACAUGGGGCCUGAGGUACGGCGCAGACUCCUACGGGGGGCAGCAGUGGGGAAUAUUGCACAAUCGGCGGAAGCCUGAUGCAGCGGCGCCGCGUGCGGGAUGACGGCCUUCGGGUUGUAAACCGCAUUCGCCUGUGACGAAGCGUGAGUGACGGUAAUGGGUAAAGAAGCACCGGCUAACUACGUG
Molecule: ribosomal RNA, 468 nt
Filed under: uncultured bacterium
Lineage: Bacteria
Description: partial 16S ribosomal RNA
Rfam family: Bacterial small subunit ribosomal RNA
Source: RNAcentral